Molecule: ribosomal RNA, 467 nt
Filed under: uncultured bacterium
Lineage: Bacteria
Description: partial 16S ribosomal RNA
Rfam family: Bacterial small subunit ribosomal RNA
Source: RNAcentral
GACGAACGCUGGCGGCGUGCUUAACACAUGCAAGUCGAACGGAAAGGCCUCAGCUUGCUGGGGUACUCGAGUGGCGAACGGGUGAGUAACACGUGGGUGAUCUGCCUUGCACUCUGGGAUAAGCUUGGGAAACUGGGUCUAAUACCGGAUAUGAACUGCCUUUAGUGUGGUGGUUGGAAAGUUUUUUCGGUGCAAGAUGAGCUCGCGGCCUAUCAGCUUGUUGGUGGGGUAAUGGCCUACCAAGGCGUCGACGGGUAGCCGGCCUGAGAGGGUGUACGGCCACAUUGGGACUGAGACACGGCCCAGACUCCUACGGGAGGCAGCAGUGGGGAAUAUUGCACAAUGGGCGGAAGCCUGAUGCAGCGACGCCGCGUGGGGGAUGACGGCCUUCGGGUUGUAAACUCCUUUCGACAGGGACGAAGCUUUUUGUGACGGUACCUGUAUAAGAAGCACCGGCUAACUACGUG